Molecule: ribosomal RNA, 405 nt
Filed under: uncultured bacterium
Lineage: Bacteria
Description: partial 16S ribosomal RNA
Rfam family: Bacterial small subunit ribosomal RNA
Source: RNAcentral
AUUGAACGCUGGCGGCAGGCUUAACACAUGCAAGUCGAACGAGUGGCGGACGGGUGAGUAAUGUCUGGGAAACUGCCUGAUGGAGGGGGUUAACUACUGGAACCGGUAGCAAAUACCGCAUACCAUCGGAUGAGCCCAGAUGGGAUUAGCUAGUAGGUGGGGGAAAGGCUCACCUAGGCGACGAUCCCUAGCUGGUCUGAGGGGAUGACCGGCCACACGGCACAUUGGACACGGUCCAGACCCCAGCGUGAGGCAGCAGUGGGGAAUAGGGGACAAUGGGCACAGGCCGAAUGCAGGCAUGCCGGGUGUAUGAAGAGGGACUACGGGUUGUAAAGUAUUUUCAGCGGGGAGGCGUAACCCGCAAAAGAAGCACCGGCUAACACCGUGCCAGCAGCGGGGGUAAUA